ACAUCCCAUUCCUCUCUAUUUUCCUCACUGUGUCUCCUUCUCUCUCUCUCUCCUCGCUGAAACUCUCUAAUUCUCUCUCUACUUCGUGGUUUCUCUCUAUUUGCUCUUUCUUUUCAUUUUCACCAAACAAGAGAUAGUCUCGGUUUCCUUCAAGAUCAGAGGUCCCAAUAAUGUCCGAUUGUCUCGAAAUUUUAACCGAAGGUAGAUGACUUAUAAAGCAUCAUUUUUACCGAAGGAAAUCGAAUUUUAAAGGUUAGAUCUUCUAAAAUUAAUUUCGGAAGUGGCUGCCGUUUCCUACAGCAGCAGUGUCGAUUUUCUACACGAUCGGGGGUACAAACGUUGUCCGAUUGUUCUGAAAUUUUAACGGAAGGAAGUUGGGGUUUCCUGAAGAUAGAAUACUAGCUUUGCGAAGAAGCCUUAGCUCAUUUUUGUAACAUCAUAAAUUAAAUACAACUAGUACAUUUCUCAUUUCAAGAGAAAUGACUAUAUUUUGUAAA
Long non-coding RNA from Salvia splendens (bonfire salvia), 497 nucleotides. RefSeq lists it as uncharacterized. NCBI's taxonomy places the organism in Eukaryota, Viridiplantae, Streptophyta, Magnoliopsida, Lamiales, Lamiaceae. The transcript has 2 exons. The record is from RefSeq and is a predicted model, not a curated record.